CCUACGGGUGGCUGCAGUGGGGAAUAUUGCACAAUGGGGGAAACCCUGAUGCAGCGACGCCGCGUGAGUGAAGACGUAUUUCGGUAUGUAAAGCUCUAUCAGCAGUGAAGAAAAUGACGGUACCUGACUAAGAAGCCCCGGCUAACUACGUGCCAGCAGCCGCGGUAAUACGUAGGGGGCAAGCGUUAUCCGGAUUUACUGGGUGUAAAGGGCGCGUAGACGGUUAGGCAAGUCUGAAGUGAAAGCCCAGGGCUUAACCCAGGAACUGCUUUGGAAACUGUAGAGCUAGAGUGCAGGAGAGGUAAGCGGAAUUCCUAGUGUAGCGGUGAAAUGCGUAGAUAUUAGGAGGAACACCAGUGGCGAAGGCGGCUUACUGGACUGUAACUGACGUUGAGGCUCGAAGGCGUGGGGAGCAAACAGGAUUAGAUACCCGUGUAGUC
Molecule: ribosomal RNA, 440 nt
Filed under: uncultured bacterium
Lineage: Bacteria
Description: partial 16S ribosomal RNA
Rfam family: Bacterial small subunit ribosomal RNA
Source: RNAcentral